UUACACAUGCAAGUCGAACGGUAACAGGUCUUCGGAUGCUGACGAGUGGCGAACGGGUGAGUAAUACAUCGGAACGUGCCUAGUAGUGGGGGAUAACUACUCGAAAGAGUAGCUAAUACCGCAUGAGAUCUACGGAUGAAAGCAGGGGACCUUCGGGCCUUGUGCUACUAGAGCGGCUGAUGGCAGAUUAGGUAGUUGGUGGGGUAAAGGCUUACCAAGCCUGCGAUCUGUAGCUGGUCUGAGAGGACGACCAGCCACACUGGGACUGAGACACGGCCCAGACUCCUACGGGAGGCAGCAGUGGGGAAUUUUGGACAAUGGGCGAAAGCCUGAUCCAGCAAUGCCGCGUGCAGGAUGAAGGCCCUCGGGUUGUAAACUGCUUUUGUACGGAACGAAAAGCCUGGGGCUAAUAUCCCCGGGUCAUGACGGUACCGUAAGAAUAAGCACCGGCUAACUACGUGCCAGCAGCCGCGGUAAUACGUAGGGUGCAAGCGUUAAUCGGAAUUACUGGGCGUAAAGCGUGCGCAGGCGGUUUUGUAAGACAGUGGUGAAAUCCCCGGGCUCAACCUGGGAACUGCCUUGUGACUGCAAGGCUAGAGUGCGGCAG
RNAcentral lists this ribosomal RNA (607 nucleotides) under Comamonas testosteroni. RNAcentral describes it as "bacterial SSU rRNA". It matches the Rfam family "Bacterial small subunit ribosomal RNA", at positions 49 to 654 of the family's 1533-position model. The record is from RNAcentral. Lineage: Bacteria; Pseudomonadati; Pseudomonadota; Betaproteobacteria; Burkholderiales; Comamonadaceae.